Molecule: non-coding RNA, 102 nt
Filed under: Herminiimonas arsenicoxydans
Lineage: Bacteria; Pseudomonadati; Pseudomonadota; Betaproteobacteria; Burkholderiales; Oxalobacteraceae
Description: TPP sequence
Rfam family: TPP riboswitch aptamer (THI element)
About the family: Vitamin B(1) in its active form thiamin pyrophosphate (TPP) is an essential coenzyme that is synthesised by coupling of pyrimidine and thiazole moieties in bacteria. The previously detected thiamin-regulatory element, thi box was extended, resulting in a new, highly conserved RNA secondary structure, the THI element, which is widely distributed in eubacteria and also occurs in some archaea.
Source: Rfam by way of RNAcentral
ACUCUCGGCUCGGGGUCCUGCGCGGAAAAUAUGCGCGGGUGAGAAAUACCCGUUGAACCUGAUUGAGGUAAUCCUCGCGCAGGAAAGCAUGCAAUCCAUCGC